UACAGAGGUCCCAAGCAUUGUUCGGAUUCAUUGGGCGUAAAGGGUGCGUAGGUGGCGCUGUAAGUCGGGUGUGAAAUUUCGGAGCUUAACUCCGAAACUGCAUUCGAUACUGCGGUGCUCGAGGACUGGAGAGGAGACUGGAAUUCAUGGUGUAGCAGUGAAAUGCGUAGAGAUCAUGAGGAAGACCAGUGGCGAAGGCGGGUCUCUGGACAGUUCCUGACACUGAGGCACGAAGGCCAGGGGAGCAAACGGG
Molecule: ribosomal RNA, 253 nt
Filed under: uncultured bacterium
Lineage: Bacteria
Description: partial 16S ribosomal RNA
Rfam family: Bacterial small subunit ribosomal RNA
Source: RNAcentral